GGGGCUGUGGCUCAGUGGUAGAGCAUCUGCUUGGCAUACAGAAGGUCCCAGGUUCAAUCCUUGGCAUCUCCA
RNAcentral lists this transfer RNA (72 nucleotides) under Sphaerodactylus townsendi. Its description in RNAcentral is "tRNA-Ala". It matches the Rfam family "tRNA". Rfam says of the family: Transfer RNA (tRNA) molecules are approximately 80 nucleotides in length. The record is from RNAcentral. Lineage: Eukaryota; Metazoa; Chordata; Lepidosauria; Squamata; Sphaerodactylidae.